RNAcentral lists this small RNA (358 nucleotides) under Drosophila yakuba. RNAcentral's name for it is "GE29096". The record is from RNAcentral. Lineage: Eukaryota; Metazoa; Arthropoda; Insecta; Diptera; Drosophilidae.
UAAAUGGCCAAUUUUUUAAGCCAGAUGGCAAAUGUGUAUUGUGUGUAAAUAAAAAUUAAAUUCGACGAAAAUUCAACUGGAAAUUUACACAAACAUCUUAAGAGGGUGCAUCCAAACAGCUACGCGUCAUAUGAGGCCAUGAAAUCAAAAGUGGCAAAAAAGGAAGAGAAUAAAUUAUCAGAGCCUAAGCAAGCAAAUUUUUUCUGUUUCCAAAGUUCAAGCAAGCUAAACAACAAAAUUUGCGACUAUAUUAUCGCUGAAAUACGUAUUCGAAACCUUAGUUAUGCUUAAAAACCCAUUAAUUAAGUAAGUUAAUCAUACUAUAAAAGUUUUUGUAAGUUUAAAUAUGAACUGUUAU